Molecule: ribosomal RNA, 403 nt
Filed under: Verrucomicrobiota bacterium
Lineage: Bacteria; Pseudomonadati; Verrucomicrobiota
Description: Verrucomicrobia bacterium partial 16S ribosomal RNA
Rfam family: Bacterial small subunit ribosomal RNA
Source: RNAcentral
UGGGGAAUAUUGCACAAUGGGGGAAACCCUGAUGCAGCGACGCCGCGUGAGCGAAGAAGGUUUUCGAAUCGUAAAGCUCUGUCCUAUGAGAAGAUAAUGACGGUAUCAUAGGAGGAAGCCCCGGCUAAAUACGUGCCAGCAGCCGCGGUAAUACGUAUGGGGCGAGCGUUGUCCGGAAUUAUUGGGCGUAAAGGGUACGUAGGCGGUCUAUUAAGUCAGGUGUGAAAGCGUGAGGCUUAACCUCAUUAAGCACUUGAAACUGAUAGACUUGAGUGAAGGAGAGGAAAGUGGAAUUCCUAGUGUAGCGGUGAAAUGCGUAGAUAUUAGGAGGAAUACCGGUGGCGAAGGCGACUUUCUGGACUUUUACUGACGCUCAGGUACGAAAGCGUGGGGAGCAAACAGG